RNAcentral lists this long non-coding RNA (203 nucleotides) under Elaeis guineensis (African oil palm). RNAcentral describes it as "long non-coding RNA (EGUI_LNC051529)". The record is from RNAcentral. Lineage: Eukaryota; Viridiplantae; Streptophyta; Magnoliopsida; Arecales; Arecaceae.
CACUUCUUAUCCUUAGAUCUAGAUCUCUUCUUCUAGAUCUUGAAGAAGGAGAUUGCUACGCGAAGUCUUUCACGCAGAUCUGACAGAAUCUGAAUCAGAUCACCAUGAAGAAAAGAAGAAUCCUUCUUCUCUCUCUUUUUCUCUCUUAGAUCUGAUCACCAUCAGAUCUGGGUGUGGAGAUAAGGAAGAAAGCAAGAGGGGGU